CCCAGAACUCUAAGUGUGUCAUGUCCUCGGAGCCCCACCCUGAGACACCGGGACCACUCUCCUCAUCAUACAAGGUUUCAGCCUCACUGAGAACCUCUCCGUAACCCCGAGCAAGUCACCGCCACAUCUUUCUGGGUCUUGGUUCCCUCUUCUGUCAAAUGGGGAGAGGGGUUGGAGUCAACCCUUCAGGUCUCUCUCAGGAGGAACCUGAAUGACUCUAGGUGUGAGACCAGUGAUGGCUGACAGUCUGUCUAUCUUCCCCCAUCCCCUCUCUUCCCCCUCGAUCUCCAGCCUCAGGAAGUACCUGCUGAAUCAACACGGAGGGGUGGACCAGAAGGCCCUGGAAGGCAGUUCCAAUAUCCAGAAGGGCUCAGGACCCCUCAGACAUACGCAGGUCAGGGCUGAAGGACCUUUGGGGGUCAUGAGGGAUAGCCUGCCCCUUUUACAGGUGGGUAGACUGAGGCCCAGGGAGGACAAGCAGACUAGGAUGGAAGCCCAGGUUCCUCGCUCCUGGCCCCCAAGGAAAGGCUGGCUCCCAUUCUCCUGCUGACCUCAUGGUCUCCUGCCUCCUGCUCUAGUGACUGGCUUCCCAGGAGGGCAGGCUCCCCUCCUCUCUGCCCUCUGCUCUCCCCAGAGCCCUGGCUCUGAUGCCCUGGCUUUGAUCCUAGGACCCUGCUUGGACCCAGGAGGCUGCAGCCCCACUCGGACAGCGGAAGCAGAACGGGGGUUUGUCUUCCACGAGAGCCCGUCUGUUGGCGGCGGGGUUGGGCUCGGUUGGCACAGUGAAGCGUUGUUUCCUUGAAUACACAAUCUGCAGCUUUCCACCCUCACCCGGGCCCUGGCAGGCAGCACUUGCUUCCCUAGAGGUCCAGCUUCCUGGCCCCUGCCUGCCCCAUCAGCCCUCCUAGAACCCUGGCAAGAAGUGCAGGUGCCAAGGGGUAGCUUGGAGGGGUCCAGCUCCCCUCAGUCGCCCUCAGAGUACCUCUCAUCAAACUAGACCAGAAACAGCCUAUGUAAAAAAAAGUGAGUUUGCUGCGCAAAUGAAGCUUCCAGACUGUUCCCUCAGCUGCAUGCCACUUCCAACCACACUGCAGCCUCCCAAGUCCCGCUCAUUUGAAGUGUCUGGGUUCUCCCAGAACAGCUCCAUCUUUGUUUUGGUGGCCAGUGGCAGGGAAGCUGUGGAAGCCCAGGAGAAGGCAGGCUCUGGGGGAAAGGAGAGACGGGGGCUGGGGUUGGGGACAUGAAUGGACAAUCCGCCACGAACACGGAAGCGGGUGUUGGAGAAGGUUUUCCAACAUGAAAGUAGAUGUCUGUGAUGGGAAACCCGGAAGGGGAAGAGCCCGGGAUUUGGAGUCACAGACCUGGGUUUCAGUCCUGGCUCUAUCAUUUUCUAGCUGUGUGGUCUUGGCGAGUUAUUUAACACCCUUUGUCUGCACAAAGGUGACGAAGAGCUCUGUGUCACAGGGCUGUUUGAGGGACCUGGUGAGCGCCUCAGCACUAUCAGCACAGGGAUCUCCGUGGUGUCUGAAUCAGCUCUGCACUGCCCGAUGGGGGCAGUGACAGACAGUGAUCCAUACCCACCCCUGCGUCUGCCCACCCAGGAGCAUUCACGUUACUCUUCCAGGAAUCCUGGAAAUCCUGCUCUCCCAAUCUCGCCAGUCUUCUGCUGGGAAGAAACUUUAGAAGAACUCCAACCAAACACCGUGGAGCCAAGGACGUGGGCGCCCUGGGACUUUCUUGAAGAGGUUCUGGGCCCUGGGACUUUCUCAAAGAGGUUCAGAGGGGCCGGGGGUCAAGGACUUGAUUUUCCCCCAGAAGGACCUUGGGAAAGUAUGGGACUCCUCAGCCACCCGCAACUGGGAACCAGAAAUCCUUCCCCCUGCCUUGGGGCCAAAUGCAGAAGCUGCUGCAAGCUGUGGUGAGUAGGGUCAGAGCCUUUCUCAAACAGUGCAGUUGCAAAACGCCCCUUCCUGGGCUUCCGGCUUGAUGUUGGGGCACUGACAGCUGCAUGUGGCUGAGGCUGACACCCCUGGUCUGCCCCCACCUCCUGCCCAGCCAAGCGGGAGCCGGCCUUGCCGCAUCCCUCCCUCAGCCCUGGGCUGCCUGUGCCAGGUGGGGCUAGACCUCCUGGCUCACCCCCAAGACUCAGCCUCAGGCCAGUUCUAUCCCCUUCCAGAACCACUCCAGACCAGCACCCAGAUCGUGGAACGAGGCUGUUCCCUCUCCAGGAGCCAGGGGCAGGGGGACAGGGAACAGGAGGUGGGGAAAGCUACCAAAGGGAGGGGCACUGGCACCUUCCCCAUCCCCUGGGCACACACAUGGCUGGGAGAGAGUGGCUGUGCAUCUUAGACCCAACAGAGUGGGACCCAGGGAUGGGCCGGAGGGAGCUGGGCCCUCUCUCCCUAGCCCCUCCACAGAGACAUUAAGAUUGUUUUUGUGGGGGGACAGGGGGAUGAGCCCACACGCCUGGGGGUGCCCAUCCACCCUGGUGAGGGCACACAGUGUGGAUCUGAUGGAAUAAAGGGUAGGGGUGGGGGUAACAGGGCAAGUCACAUAGGAAGGGGCCCCUUUUGACCAGGGUGGGUGUGGGACAUGGGGGGUCCCUGUGGGGAGGGAAGGGGAUAUACGGAGUGGGGAGGAGAGAUGGGGGGCCUUGCGACAGAAGCAGGGGAGCGGUGACUGCAAGCUGCUGGGUGCACGGGGGUGGGGCGGGCAGGAGCGGGAGGGAGGCCUUCCAAACCCGGAGGGGACUCGGCCCACAGGGACGACUGGAGUGAGGUUUACACCAGAGGGGCAACAGGGGCCGAGGGGUCCCUUCCUAAGGAGACCACUUGUGAGUGAAGGAUUUGGGUCCUGGCUAAUGAGUGGGUGGGGAUGGAAAGGGCAAGUCUUUGCCCCCAGUUUGCUGGUAGACGCUAAGUAACUGGAGAGGAAGUUGGGGGGAUCCCUGCCCAGAACCCACCUUGAGGGAGACCUGAGAUCGCAGAGGAAACGAAAAGACCUUAAGGGAGGGAAUGUGGUUGGCAUGUGGUGUCGAGGGGCACUGGGGUGGGUAUCUUUGGCCAGCGUGUGUUGGGGUGGGGGUGGGGAACGCGAGUAGCUGGGAUCGGGGAAGGAAGGCCGCUGGGUCCUCAGCCUCGGUGUGUGCGGUGUGGGGUGGUGGAGAAGCCCCACUAACAGCGCGGAGGGCCCGGGACCCACACGUGUGGUGGUGGGGGUGGGGCUCGCGGGGCCUGGCGAUUAUCUGGAAGGAAGCCUGGGGUCCCCCACUCUGUGGACGCGUCUAUGGUGUACCGGAGGCAGCACAAAUACGAGUCUCCGCCGCGUGCCAGGGGCCGGGGGUCCCCCAGACUAACGUGCGCGGUGAGAUGCCGGGUCUCGAUCUGGAAGGGGCCGCCGGGUCCCCAACCCCGGAGGGCUGCUGAACGCCGGAGCCUUACAACUGUUAAACUCAGGCAGAGCUCGGGAAAUGCUGCCCGGAUGGGUGACUGAUGGAGAGGGGCUACCACUCUUCCAGCUAAACUCCGCUCUGGUUGGGACCCAGCAAUUAUUUUCCAUAGCGAAGUGUUAAUAAAAUAUCUGUUACUCCCAACACAACCUCCUGGGGGAAGGGACCUGUCUGUCUGCUUCAACUUUGGAUCCUCAGUGCCCACAUCAGGAUACCUGGCCUGAGAGCAUCCGGUGACCCAGUUUUAGGUCUCAAGGUCACUGCCAAGAAAGAGAAGCUGCUAAAGUGACACCUCUGUGCACCCACAUGACUUAACACAAAAGUUAACAGGAGCUCUUCAAAAACAAGCCUCUCGAGUGUCUGUCUCCUGUUUUCCCUGAGGACAGCAUCAGUGGCAUCAGAUAGGGGUUGGGGCUGGGUGACCUGCUGGUCCUCAGCCAUCACUGUGGCCCAGAGGUCAUUUAAGCAGCUCUCUGCUUAGCAGACAGGCAGAGGGAAUAGAUGGAAGGUACAGGUAAACACUGCAUGUGGCCACCGCGAGGAUACCCCGGAGCCUGGGAAACAGACAGGGACGUCGUAAAACCAACACAUAAUGGACCAGUGCAGAGACAGGCAAAACCAGUCAGAAGAAAUAGGAUGGUGCCUAGCCCAGGGACACCUGACUUAAGAGAGGGUCCUGCCGGUAUUACCCUGGAGGAAGGAAUGCUGCACAGAGGCCGAGAGGAAUUUGAACAGACUGGCCUUGCUGGGUUUUUAUCUCUUUUUGUCCAAUCCCAUUUUGACACAGUUGUCCAUGCUCCAAUCAUGCUUAUCCAAUGAAGUUUCCAUAACAGGCCUGAGAGGACAGGGUUCAGGAGCUUCCGGACAGCUGAGCAGGUGGAGGUUCCUGGAGGGUGGUGUGCCAGGGAGGGUGUGGAAGCUCUGCCCCUUCCCCCAUACCUUGUCCUAUGCAUUCCUUUAUCUGCAUCCUUCAUUUUAUUUUAUUUUUUUUUGAGACGGAGUCUUGCUCUUGUCGUCCAGGCUGGAAUGCAGUGGUGCGCGA
Molecule: long non-coding RNA, 4490 nt
Filed under: Homo sapiens (human)
Lineage: Eukaryota; Metazoa; Chordata; Mammalia; Primates; Hominidae
Description: HSALNT0290401
Source: RNAcentral